RNAcentral lists this ribosomal RNA (468 nucleotides) under uncultured prokaryote. RNAcentral's name for it is "bacterial SSU rRNA". It matches the Rfam family "Bacterial small subunit ribosomal RNA", at positions 347 to 810 of the family's 1533-position model. The record is from RNAcentral.
GGCGCUUCCCGCAAAUUGCUCACAGGGGCAACCCUGAUCCAGCCAUUCCGCGUGAGUGAAGAAGGCCUUCGGGUUGUAAAGCUCUUUCGGCAGGAACGAAACGGCGCGCUCUAACAUAGCGCGUUAAUGACGGUACCUGAAGAAGAAGCACCGGCUAACUACGUGCCAGCAGCCGCGGUAAUACGUAGGGUGCGAGCGUUAAUCGGAAUUACUGGGCGUAAAGCGUGCGCAGGCGGUUGUGUAAGACAGGUGUGAAAUCCCCGGGCUUAACCUGGGAACUGCGCUUGUGACUGCACGGCUAGAGUAUGGCAGAGGGGGGUGGAAUUCCACGUGUAGCAGUGAAAUGCGUAGAGAUGUGGAGGAACACCGAUGGCGAAGGCAGCCCCCUGGGCCAAUACUGACGCUCAUGCACGAAAGCGUGGGGAGCAAACAGGAUUAGAUACCCUGGUAGUCCACGCCCUAAACGAU